UGAGGAAAGGGAAGCCCAGAGAGGGUUUGUGACUUCCUCGAGGUUGCAUAGCCAGUAAGUGAUGGAGCCAGGAUUUGGACCCAGGCAGUCUGACCCCUAAGACCGUGCACUCUUAACCGCUCCUCUACUUCUUGUUGCAGGGGCUGCACCUCCCAGCACAGCGUUGCCUGUCCAGGCCCUGACCAGAGCAGACCCAGCUGAGGGCUGUUGCAAGGAGACCCAGCGCGGCAGCCCAGGGGUGUAACGUGGACUGCUGAGCCCUCUGACCUCGGACCUCAGUCCUGGGUGCUUUUGAGGAUAAAAUGAGAUCUUCCACAUCAGUCUGAUCGGCGUGUACUUGGCAGUCAGUACAUGGUGGCUGUUGGCGUCUUGACCACAGUGGUGACUGUAGCCCACUUCCCUCGCUAUGCCAAGCACAGGGCGUUCUGGGCCACCAGGUCACGGCGGUCUGACCUCUGUCUGCGUUCAGUAUAAAUUUGGCUGGUGGACUUGACUUUCACAUGAGGACCAGGCACCCACACAUGGCUUUGCUGCCGACACCGCUGAGCCUCACUUUGCAGACCUGCCUGACUUCUGUGAGGUCUCGAGGUCUGAGCCUCAGUUUCCCUUUUAAUUAACAGGGAUACUAACUUGCUUGUGAACACGCUCUAUAAACUGCUUUUUAAUAUGG
Long non-coding RNA from Microcebus murinus (gray mouse lemur), 670 nucleotides. RefSeq lists it as uncharacterized. Lineage: Eukaryota; Metazoa; Chordata; Mammalia; Primates; Cheirogaleidae. The record is from RefSeq and is a predicted model, not a curated record.